UCGAACGGACUUAACAUGAAACCUAGUGAUUGUUAAGUUAGUGGCGGACGGGCCAGUAACGCGUGGAUAACCUGCCGUAUGCGGGGGGAUAACAGUUGGAAACAGCUGCUAAUACCGCAUAAGCGCACAGUACCGCAUGGUACGGUGUGAAAAGAUUUAUCGGCAUACGAUGGAUCCGCGUCCGAUUAGCCAGUUGGCGGGGUAACGGCCCACCAAAGCGACGAUCGGUAGCCGGCCUGAGAGGGCGGACGGCCACAUUGGGACUGAGACACGGCCCAAACUCCUACGGGAGGCAGCAGUGGGGAAUAUUGCACAAUGGGGGAAACCCUGAUGCAGCGACGCCGCGUGAGUGAAGAAGUAUCUCGGUAUGUAAAGCUCUAUCAGCAGGGAAGAAAAUGACGGUACCUGACUAAGAAGCCCCGGCUAACUACGUGCCAGCAGCCGCGGUAAUACGUAGGGGGCAAGCGUUAUCCGGAUUUACUGGGUGUAAAGGGAGCGUAGACGGCGCUGCAAGUCCGGAGUGAAAGCCCAUGGCUUAACCAUGGUACUGCUCUGGAAACUGUGGAGCUUGAGUGCGGGAGGGGCAGGCGGAAUUCCUAGUGUAGCGGUGAAAUGCGUAGAUAUUAGGAGGAACACCGGCGGCGAAGGCGGCCUGCUGGACCGUAACUGACGUUGAGGCUCGAAAGCGUGGGGAGCAAACAGGAUUAGAUACCCUGGUAGUCCACGCCGUA
Molecule: ribosomal RNA, 731 nt
Filed under: uncultured bacterium
Lineage: Bacteria
Description: bacterial SSU rRNA
Rfam family: Bacterial small subunit ribosomal RNA
Source: RNAcentral